CGUGUAGGCGGCUUAUUAUGUCAGGUGUGAAAUCCCUCGGCCUAACUGAGGAAGUGCGCCUGAAACUGAUAGGCUUGAGUACGAGAGAGGAGGACGGAAUUCCCAGUGUAGAGGUGAAAUUCGUAGAUAUUGGGAGGAACACCGGUGGCGAAAGCGGUUCUCUAGAUCGAUACUGACGCUAAGACGCGAAAGCGUGGGGAGCAAACA
Molecule: ribosomal RNA, 207 nt
Filed under: uncultured bacterium
Lineage: Bacteria
Description: partial 16S ribosomal RNA
Rfam family: Bacterial small subunit ribosomal RNA
Source: RNAcentral